This is a small nuclear RNA of Oryctolagus cuniculus (rabbit), 113 nucleotides long. Its record names the gene U2. It matches the Rfam family "U2 spliceosomal RNA". From Rfam's summary of the family: U2 is a small nuclear RNA (snRNA) component of the spliceosome (involved in pre-mRNA splicing). Complementary binding between U2 snRNA (in an area lying towards the 5' end but 3' to hairpin I) and the branchpoint sequence (BPS) of the intron results the bulging out of an unpaired adenosine, on the BPS, which initiates a nucleophilic attack at the intronic 5' splice site, thus starting the first of two transesterification reactions that mediate splicing. The record is from Ensembl. Lineage: Eukaryota; Metazoa; Chordata; Mammalia; Lagomorpha; Leporidae.
AUCGCUUCUCAACCUUUUGGCUAUGAUCAAGUGUAAUGCCUGUUCUUACCAAUUUAAUAACAUUUCACUAUGUGUGUAUGGAUAAACAAAAUUAUUUGAUUUAUAUAAUCAUA